Molecule: ribosomal RNA, 512 nt
Filed under: uncultured Desulfobulbus sp.
Lineage: Bacteria; Pseudomonadati; Thermodesulfobacteriota; Desulfobulbia; Desulfobulbales; Desulfobulbaceae
Description: bacterial SSU rRNA
Rfam family: Bacterial small subunit ribosomal RNA
Source: RNAcentral
CGCCUUGCCAGCCCGCUCAGAAACUUAAAGGAAGUUGACGGGGGCCCGGCACAAGCGGUGGAGUAUGUGGUUUAAUUCGAUGCAACGCGAAGAACCUUACCUGGUCUUGACAUCCCGGAGACCCUUAGGAAACUAGGGGUGCUUCCAUCUGGAAGAAUCUGGAGACAGGUGCUGCAUGGCUGUCGUCAGCUCGUGUCGUGAGAUGUUGGGUUAAGUCCCGCAACGAGCGUAACCCUUGCCUUUAGUUGCCAGCAGUUCGGCUGGGCACUCUAAAGGGACUGCCGGUGUUAAACCGGAGGAAGGUGGGGAUGACGUCAAGUCCUCAUGGCCUUUAUGACCAGGGCUACACACGUACUACAAUGGCCGAUACAAAGGGCAGCGACACUGCGAGGUGAAGCCAAUCCCGUAAAAUCGGUCUCAGUCCGGAUUGGAGUCUGCAACUCGACUCCAUGAAGUUGGAAUCGCUAGUAAUCGUGGAUCAGCAUGCCACGGUGAAUACGUUCCCGGGCCUU